CCUACGGGAGGCUGCAGUGGGGAAUAUUGGACAAUGGGGGCAACCCUGAUCCAGCCAUGCCGCGUGUGUGAAGAAGGCCCUCGGGUUGUAAAGCACUUUCAGUGAGGAAGAACGCCUGGUGGUUAAUACCCAUCAGGAAAGACAUCACUCACAGAAGAAGCACCGGCUAACUCCGUGCCAGCAGCCGCGGUAAUACGGAGGGUGCGAGCGUUAAUCGGAAUUACUGGGCGUAAAGCGCGCGUAGGUGGCUUGAUAAGCCGGUUGUGAAAGCCCCGGGCUCAACCUGGGAACGGCAUCCGGAACUGUCAAGCUAGAGUGCAGGAGAGGAAGGUAGAAUUCCCGGUGUAGCGGUGAAAUGCGUAGAGAUCGGGAGGAAUACCAGUGGCGAAGGCGGCCUUCUGGACUGACACUGACACUGAGGUGCGAAAGCGUGGGUAGCAAACAGGAUUUGAUACCCUUGUAGUC
RNAcentral lists this ribosomal RNA (465 nucleotides) under Vreelandella stevensii. RNAcentral's name for it is "partial 16S ribosomal RNA". It matches the Rfam family "Bacterial small subunit ribosomal RNA", at positions 338 to 795 of the family's 1533-position model. Lineage: Bacteria; Pseudomonadati; Pseudomonadota; Gammaproteobacteria; Oceanospirillales; Halomonadaceae. The record is from RNAcentral.